AUUAAGAUCGCAACUGACUCAACGUUUAACCGUCCAUCUUAUUUAAAAAAAUAAUUAGUAGUUUUAUUGUUAUAUAAGAUGAUAAAACGUAAAUAGUAAUUUAUAUGUGACUAAUUUAUUUUUUUAUAAAAUUUUCAAAUAAGAUAAGUGAUUAAAUGUUGGGCACGAAAAUCCACCACACACUUAAA
Molecule: microRNA precursor, 188 nt
Filed under: Oryza nivara
Lineage: Eukaryota; Viridiplantae; Streptophyta; Magnoliopsida; Poales; Poaceae
Description: MIR812 microRNA precursor family
Rfam family: MIR812 microRNA precursor family
Source: Rfam by way of RNAcentral